RNAcentral lists this ribosomal RNA (253 nucleotides) under uncultured bacterium. RNAcentral describes it as "partial 16S ribosomal RNA". It matches the Rfam family "Bacterial small subunit ribosomal RNA", at positions 524 to 776 of the family's 1533-position model. The record is from RNAcentral.
UACGAGAGGCCCAAACGUUAUUCGGAAUCACUGGGCUUAAAGAGUUCGUAGGCGGCGCGGAAAGUGGGGUGUGAAAGCCCUCGGCUCAACCGAGGAAUUGCGCUCCAUACUCCCGUGCUAGAGGAGGCUAGAGGUAAGCAGAACUGAUGGUGGAGCGGUGAAAUGCGUUGAUAUCAUCAAGAAUACCGGAGGCGAAGGCGGCUUACUGGGACCUUUCUGACGCUGAGGAACGAAAGCUAGGGGAGCAAACGGG